GCCUUCGUGGUGUAAUGUUCAGCACGCUUGGCGUGCAUUCAAGAGGUCAGUGGUUCGAGUCCCGGCGAGGGCU
RNAcentral lists this transfer RNA (73 nucleotides) under Stegodyphus mimosarum. It matches the Rfam family "tRNA". Rfam says of the family: Transfer RNA (tRNA) molecules are approximately 80 nucleotides in length. Their secondary structure includes four short double-helical elements and three loops (D, anti-codon, and T loops). Lineage: Eukaryota; Metazoa; Arthropoda; Arachnida; Araneae; Eresidae. The record is from Rfam by way of RNAcentral.